Gadus macrocephalus (Pacific cod) is the source of this 765-nucleotide long non-coding RNA. RefSeq lists it as uncharacterized. The transcript has 2 exons. The record is from RefSeq and is a predicted model, not a curated record. Lineage: Eukaryota; Metazoa; Chordata; Actinopteri; Gadiformes; Gadidae.
AGAGGUGCGAACUCAGAAUUAGUGCAAUGUCGGUGGAAGUAAAAGCCUCCGUAGCAGCUGCGUAAACAGAACCUUCAGCCUGGGGUCUGCACGUAACCCUGGCCUGGUGUCUUUUUAUAUGGUGACCAGCAAAUGGUGCACACAAGCUCGAGUCUCCCGACACGUGAUCGCAUAACAGCGAUUUGUGAGUCACACGGGGUAGCAGCAAGUAAGUGUACGUGCUCCCGUUCUCAUACAAAUGUAUGACGUAGUGUUUUUAGCAUUUAUCAUUUCAUGUUCGCCAUUUGUGUAGGAACAGAAAGCUCACGUCAGGUGAGAGUGCACUGCUUCGCGUCAUCCACACUUGAACGCAUUGGUACUGGAGUUGUAGGUCUAGUUCAUCUAGGCUGGCCCAAACACGAGGAUUGCCGUCGUCUGUUCGACCAGCCACUGUUUUCCCAGGACCGAAUUUGUCUACUUUUAUCUAUUUGAAUGUAACCUACGAGUGCUAUAGGCAUCUGCCACCCGUAUCGUGGGCUAAUUGGGAGAGUAGGGGGAAGGCCGGCUAGUGGUAGCCCGUUAACCUAAAUUGUUUGUUAUUUUGUUUAUUAUAUAUUUCUUGUGUGGCCCAUGGGCAUUUUUUCACCAUCUCUUGUGGGAACAGUAUUUGUUUGCAGUGUUUUAGUGUUUGAUUUUCAUCUGCUGCUAACUGCAUGAGUUUUAUUUGCCCUUGUUGCUAACCAGCAUGUAUUUUGAUUAGUGCAUAAUAAAUGUUUAUUGAUUGCA